AUGAGGAUUAGGCCGUCCUUCAACCUGUAUCACAGAAAUUUCGAAAGGGCUGGGCCGUGGGCACCUCUCAUUCCUCAUUCUGCAGAGCGCUCAGACGGGGCGGCACCUAGGCGGUGGGAGCAGCAGCAGACCUUCGCCGGCUGCAGACAGGUGCACACGGACGCAGGGUGGGGAGCACCCCCGCAGGUCCUCAGCACCCUGGGCAGCUACGGCGAGCCAGUGCACCAGCUCAGGGAUCCAGACGGAUACCCAGAAAGACUGCUGACUGCAGGAGAAGACGACAACGCCAGGGUGCUGGGGCCGGACCCCGAGGGUGGCGGCCACUUCAGGGAGGAGCGGACACGGCGGGAACCAGGGAGCACUCCUCUGCUCCAGGAACGCCUGUGGGAAUCCCCCGGCACAGACUCGCUGAAUCUCCCAGUUUUCAACACUGGUUCAGUGUGAACCCUCGGCUGGCCUGAGGAAACAUCUGCUGGGUGAAUACGGCCCCUGCCCCCAGUCUGUACCCAAGGCAGAUGACAGAGGUCAGAAGACAGCUUGCCCGGACUGACUCACCCGCUCUUGGGUGUGCCCAGCUCAGCAUGGAGGCUGGAGAACCGUGGAGUCACCGCGAUCCAACAGAUUUGAGUCUGAUCCCGGCUCACCUCCGACUACCUGCAAGGCCUCAAGUGAACUAUUACCCAACCUCCCGUACCUCCACGUCCGUCUGCAAGAUGGGCUGAUAAUACCCAACACUGAGAAAUUUGUGAGGCUUCAAAAUGUGUGUGUGUGUGUGUGUGUGUGUGUGUGAAGACGACCAUGAACUCUUCCUAAAUGUCAAAUUUCCUUCCCCCAUAGCUCUUAAAAAAAAUAAAUAAACAAAAAACCCCCAAAAAACCAACUUGGCCAACUCUCAGCUUCUUUAGAUGUCACGGUUCUCCUCUGUUACAAACAAGAAUAACCCUCCAGCCCUGCUGCUCUAAGCGCACUGGAUGGGAUGAAGUGGUGCAGAUGGAAGCAGGUGCUUACAAAUUAGAGAAGUAUGAUCGACCUGAACGCCAACACCCUUUCCUCCCAUUUCGAGGCCCAGGAUGCACUAAUUUGCUUUCCUAAAGUGUUUCUACCCCUUCCAUAGCGCGAUGCGGGGAGAAGAUGGAAUCGCGGUUGUGGUGAUUCUCAGCAAUCAACUCCCCAGGGUCCGACAGUCCCCCCACCCUCACAGAGGCCAGGAAACAUUAGGUCACCGCCUGGUCACUUAGAGGCCCAGCAGGUUUGUUUUCUCUCUCCAUGCUCUCCUCUUAGAGAACUGAGGUAGAACAUAAAGUCACUUACCAGCUGCAUCUUUCUCUUACCCACACAAAAAACCUGGAGCCACAGGCCAAACAACUACACUUAAGUAUCAUCGAGAAUUCGCUAUGACAUUUUCCAACUGAAAAAGGAUUUUUGUCAGUUCUCUCAUUUCCCCACACCCUGUGACCAAACUGGGACAUGCUUUGGCAUUUCCUCAACUGACUUAAAGCAUCUUUACAACUCCUUUUAGACUAACCAUCCCAGCCAGGGCUGGGCUGACGGGCCAACCUAGCACUUUGACUUUCAACAAUUACAGUAUCAUUUACUUAGUUUUUCUCUUAAAAGCAAAGAGGCAUCAGGGACGCCUGGGUGGCUCAGUGUUUGAGCAUCU
Molecule: long non-coding RNA, 1660 nt
Filed under: Canis lupus familiaris (dog)
Lineage: Eukaryota; Metazoa; Chordata; Mammalia; Carnivora; Canidae
Description: lncRNA (ENSCAFG00805017316.1, ENSCAFG00845021575.1)
Source: RNAcentral